Molecule: ribosomal RNA, 429 nt
Filed under: Bacteroidota bacterium
Lineage: Bacteria; Pseudomonadati; Bacteroidota
Description: Bacteroidetes bacterium partial 16S ribosomal RNA
Rfam family: Bacterial small subunit ribosomal RNA
Source: RNAcentral
UAGGGAAUCUUCGGCAAUGGGGGGAACCCUGACCGAGCAACGCCGCGUGAGUGAAGAAGGUUUUCGGAUCGUAAAGCUCUGUUGUUAAGGAAGAACGAGUGUGAGAAUGGAAAGUUCAUGCUGUGACGGUACUUAACCAGAAAGGGACGGCUAACUACGUGCCAGCAGCCGCGGUAAUACGUAGGUCCCGAGCGUUGUCCGGAUUUAUUGGGCGUAAAGCGAGCGCAGGCGGUUAGAAAAGUCUGAAGUGAAAGGCAGUGGCUCAACCAUUGUAGGCUUUGGAAACUGUUUAACUUGAGUGCAGAAGGGGAGAGUGGAAUUCCAUGUGUAGCGAUGAAAUGCGUAGAUAUAUGGAGGAACACCGGUGGCGAAAGCGGCUCUCUGGUCUGUAGCUGACGCUGAGGCUCGAAAGCGUGGGGAGCGAACAGG